UACAGAGGGUGCGAGCGUUACUCGGAAUUACUGGGCGUAAAGCGUGCGUAGCCGGUUAUUUAAGUCGGAUGUGAAAGCCCCGGGCUCAACCUGGGAAUUGCAUUCGAGACUGAAUAGCUAGGGUGCGGUAGAGGGAAGCGGAAUUUCCGGUGUAGCGGUGAAAUGCGCAGAUAUCAGGAAGAACACCCGUGGCGAAGGCGGCUCUCUGGAACGCAACUGACGCUGAGACGCGAAAGCGUGGGGAGAGAACAGG
Molecule: ribosomal RNA, 253 nt
Filed under: uncultured bacterium
Lineage: Bacteria
Description: partial 16S ribosomal RNA
Rfam family: Bacterial small subunit ribosomal RNA
Source: RNAcentral